This 253-nucleotide ribosomal RNA is filed under the name uncultured bacterium. RNAcentral describes it as "partial 16S ribosomal RNA". It matches the Rfam family "Bacterial small subunit ribosomal RNA", at positions 524 to 776 of the family's 1533-position model. The record is from RNAcentral.
UACAGAGGGGGCAAGCGUUGUUCGGAAUUACUGGGCGUAAAGGGCGCGUAGGCGGCCUUCUAAGUCGAACGUGAAAUCCCUGGGCUCAACCCAGGAACUGCGUCCGAUACUGGAAGGCUUGAAUCCGGGAGAGGGAUGUGGAAUUCCAGGUGUAGCGGUGAAAUGCGUAGAUAUCGAGAGGAACACCAGUGGCGAAGGCGAGUCCCUGGACAACGACUGACACUGAGGCACGAAAGCUAGGGUAGCAAACGGG